RNAcentral lists this ribosomal RNA (247 nucleotides) under uncultured type II methanotroph. RNAcentral describes it as "partial 16S ribosomal RNA". It matches the Rfam family "Bacterial small subunit ribosomal RNA", at positions 371 to 642 of the family's 1533-position model. The record is from RNAcentral. Lineage: Bacteria; Pseudomonadati; Pseudomonadota; Alphaproteobacteria; Hyphomicrobiales; Methylocystaceae.
AUGGGCGCAGCUGAUCAGCAUGCCGCGUGAGUGAUGAGGUCUUCGGGUUGUAAAACUCUUUGUGCGGGAAGAAAAUGACUGUACCGCAAGAAUAAGCCCGGCUAACUUCGUGCCAGCAGCCGCGGUAAUACGAAGGGGGCUAGCGUUGCUCGGAAUCACUGGGCGUAAAGGGUGCGUAGGCGGGUCUUUAAGUCAGGGGUGAAAUCCUGGAGCUCAACUCCAGAACUGCCUUUGAUACUGAGGAUCU